AUUGAACGCUGGCGGCAGGCUUAACACAUGCAAGUCGAGCGGGGAAAGGUAGCUUGCUACCUGACCUAGCGGCGGACGGGUGAGUAAUGCUUAGGAAUCUGCCUAUUAGAGGGGGACAACAGCUGGAAACGGCUGCUAAGACCGCAUAGGCGCGGACGGGACAUCCCGUCCACGUUAAACGUCCUUUCGGGGACGGCUGAAGGAUGGGCCUGUGGCGCAUUAGCUUGUUGGCGGGGCAACGGCCCACCAAGGCGACGAUGCGUAGCCGGCCUGAGAGGGCGGACGGCCACACUGGGACUGAGACACGGCCCAG
RNAcentral lists this ribosomal RNA (313 nucleotides) under uncultured bacterium. RNAcentral describes it as "bacterial SSU rRNA". It matches the Rfam family "Bacterial small subunit ribosomal RNA", at positions 28 to 334 of the family's 1533-position model. The record is from RNAcentral.